GCUACUUACGCCGAGGACUUGGAAAUUUUGCCAGGUGGUGUGUAAAACCUGGCGAAGGUUUCGUCAGACCUUGGUAUAGGGACGA
Non-coding RNA from Cordylochernes scorpioides, 85 nucleotides. The record is from the annotation of a GenBank genome assembly. Lineage: Eukaryota; Metazoa; Arthropoda; Arachnida; Pseudoscorpiones; Chernetidae.